GAUUGAAGAACGUAGCGAAAUGCGAUACGUAAUGUGAAUUGCAGAAUUCAGUGAAUCAUCGAAUCUUUGAACGCAUAUUGCGCUCUCUGGUAUUCCGGAGAGCAUGCUUGUUUGAGUAUCAGUAAACACCUCAACUCCCCUUUCUUUUUUUGAAAUGGGAGCUGGACUUGAGUGAUCCCAACGCUUUUCUCACCGAAAAGUGGCGGGUUACUUGAAAUGCAGGUGCAGCUGGACUUUUCUCUGAGCUAAAAGCAUAUCUAUUUAGUCUGCCUAAAAAACAGAUUAUUACCUUUGCUGCAGCUAACAUAAAGGAGAUUAGUUCUUGUGCUGACUGAUGCAGGAUUCACAGAGACAGCUUCGGCUGGCCUUUGUAAACUCGAUCUCAAAUCAAGUAAGACUACCCGCUGAACUUAAGCAUAUCAAUAAGCGGAGGA
This 434-nucleotide unclassified non-coding RNA is filed under the name soil metagenome. Its description in RNAcentral is "partial contains 5.8S ribosomal RNA, internal transcribed spacer 2, and large subunit ribosomal RNA". The stretch from base 4 to 121 matches the Rfam family "5.8S ribosomal RNA", at positions 37 to 154 of the family's 154-position model. The record is from RNAcentral.